AAAGGAAUAGACGGGGACCCGCACAAGCAGCGGAGCAUGUGGUUUAAUUCGACGCAACGCGAAGAACCUUACCAGGGCUUGACAUCCCUCUGACCGGAUUAGAGAUAGUCCUUUCUCUUCGGAGACAGAGGAGACAGGUGGUGCAUGGUUGUCGUCAGCUCGUGUCGUGAGAUGUUGGGUUAAGUCCCGCAACGAGCGCAACCCUUGCCUUUAGUUGCCAUCAGGUAAAGCUGGGCACUCUAGAGGGACUGCCGGUGACAAACCGGAGGAAGGUGGGGAUGACGUCAAAUCAUCAUGCCCCUUAUGUCCUGGGCUACACACGUGCUACAAUGGUCGGUACAACGGGAAGCGAGACUGCGAAGUUUAGCCAAUCCCAAUAAGCCGAUCCCAGUUCGGAUUGUAGGCUGCAACUCGCCUACAUGAAGUCGGAGUUGCUAGUAAUCGCGAAUCAGCACGUCGCGGUGAAUGCGUUCCCGGGUCUUGUACACACCGCCCGU
This 497-nucleotide ribosomal RNA is filed under the name uncultured bacterium. RNAcentral describes it as "bacterial SSU rRNA". It matches the Rfam family "Bacterial small subunit ribosomal RNA", at positions 903 to 1397 of the family's 1533-position model. The record is from RNAcentral.